RNAcentral lists this ribosomal RNA (484 nucleotides) under uncultured bacterium. RNAcentral's name for it is "partial 16S ribosomal RNA". It matches the Rfam family "Bacterial small subunit ribosomal RNA", at positions 30 to 507 of the family's 1533-position model. The record is from RNAcentral.
AUUGAACGCUGGCGGCAGGCCUAACACAUGCAAGUCGAGCGGAUGAAGGGAGCUUGCUCCUGGAUUCAGCGGCGGACGGGCGAGUAAUGCCUAGGAAUCUGCCUGGUAGUGGGGGAUAACGUCCGGAAACGGGCGCUAAUACCGCAUACGUCCUGAGGGAGAAAGUGGGGGAUCUUCGGACCUUACGCUAUUAGAUGAGCCUAGGUCGGAUUAGCUAGUUGGUGUGGUAAAGGCCUACCAAGGCGACGAUCCGUAACUGGUCUGAGAGGAUGAUCAGUCACACUGGAACUGAGACACGGUCCAGACUCCUACGGGAGGCAGCAGUGGGGAAUGUUGGACAAUGGGCGGAAGCCUGAUCCAGCCAUGCCGCGUGUGUGAAGAAGGUCUUCGGAUUGUAAAGCACUUUAAGUUGGGAAGAAGGGCAGUAAGUUAAUACCUUGCUGUUUUGACGUUACCAACAGAAUAAGCACCGGCUAACUUCGUG